UAUGUUGUAGACUAAUGGGUAAGUCAUAAAUUUUUGAUAUUUACUAAUGAGUGUUCGAGUCACUUCAACAUAA
RNAcentral lists this transfer RNA (73 nucleotides) under Pyricularia oryzae. Its description in RNAcentral is "tRNA-Gln". It matches the Rfam family "tRNA". From Rfam's summary of the family: Transfer RNA (tRNA) molecules are approximately 80 nucleotides in length. Their secondary structure includes four short double-helical elements and three loops (D, anti-codon, and T loops). Lineage: Eukaryota; Fungi; Ascomycota; Sordariomycetes; Magnaporthales; Pyriculariaceae. The record is from RNAcentral.